AACAAACGCUGGCGGCGUGCCUAACACAUGCAAGUCGUACGAGAAAGUCGGCUUCGGCCGAUGAGUACAGUGGCGCACGGGUGAGUAGCGCGUGGGUAAUCUGCCCCCCGGUCAGGAAUAACCCGCCGAAAGGCGGGCUAAUACCCGAUAACACUGACGCUCCGCGGAGCGUCUUUCAAAGGAGGCCUCUGUUUACAAGCUUUCGCCGGAGGAUGAGCCCGCGUACCAUUAGCUAGUUGGCAGGGUAAUGGCCUACCAAGGCUACGAUGGUUAGCUGGUCUGAGAGGAUGGCCAGCCACACUGGAACUGAGACACGGUCCAGACUCCUACGGGAGGCAGCAGUGAGGAAUCUUGCGCAAUGGGGGAAACCCUGACGCAGCAACGCCGCGUGAGUGAGGAAGGCCUUCGGGUCGUAAAGCUCUGUCAGAUGGGAAGAAAUGGAUGGGGGCUAAUAUCGCCCAUCCUUGACGGUACCAUCAGAGGAAGCACCGGCUAACUCCGUCG
This 504-nucleotide ribosomal RNA is filed under the name uncultured bacterium. RNAcentral describes it as "bacterial SSU rRNA". It matches the Rfam family "Bacterial small subunit ribosomal RNA", at positions 29 to 508 of the family's 1533-position model. The record is from RNAcentral.